RNAcentral lists this long non-coding RNA (399 nucleotides) under Panax ginseng (ginseng). RNAcentral describes it as "long non-coding RNA (PGIN_LNC016017)". Lineage: Eukaryota; Viridiplantae; Streptophyta; Magnoliopsida; Apiales; Araliaceae. The record is from RNAcentral.
CUAUAGACACUACACCAAAAAUGGUCUAUAGCGAAGGAAAUUUUGUGAAGGAAUUUAUUCCUUCACAUGAGGAGUUGUUUAGCGAAGGAAUGGUUUGGUUUGCGCAAAAGACGAAAGGAAAGACGGGGGCGAGCAAGCCCUCUUUUUCAGGAAAAAAGUAUAGUGACAAUAUAGUUAUUAGCGAAAGAAAUAUCCUUCACAAUUUAUAUUUUUUUUCUCCCAAAAUUGGGGCGAUAGAAAGAUUUUUGGAGCCAAUUUAUGAUGAAAAUUUGUGAGAAAAAAAUCUAUUUAAUGAAGGAAUUAUUACUCACUAUAUAUCAUUAUUCAGAAGUUUUUUGCGAGGGAUAAAAUUAGUCGCUAUCUUGUUCUAAAUAGUUUUUUUUUGAAUUAAUUGUGGUG